Molecule: long non-coding RNA, 3695 nt
Filed under: Triticum aestivum (bread wheat)
Lineage: Eukaryota; Viridiplantae; Streptophyta; Magnoliopsida; Poales; Poaceae
Description: long non-coding RNA (TAES_LNC004824)
Source: RNAcentral
GUUCACAUAACACCACUAGAGGAAAGACAACAUACAUCUCAUCAAAAUAUCGAACGAAUACCAAAUUCACAUGACUACUUAUAGCAAGACUUUUCCCAUGUCCUCAGGAACAAACGUAAGUACUCACAAAUCAUAUUCAUGUUCAUAAUCAUAGGGGUAUUAAUAUGCAUAAAGGAUCUGAACAUAUGAUCUUCCACCAAAUAAACCAACUAGCAUCAACUACAAGGAGUAAUCAACACUACUAGCAACCCACAGGUACCAAUCUGAGGUUUUGGGACAAAGAUUGGAUACAAGAGAUGAACUAGGGUUUGAGAGGAGAUGGUGCUAGUGAAGAUGUUGAUGGAGAUUGACCCCUCCCGAUGAGAGGAUCGAUGGUGAUCACGAUGGUGAUGAUUUCCCCCUCCCGGAGGGAUGUUUCCCCGGCAAAACAGCUCCGCCGGAGCCCUAGAUUGGUUUCGCCAGGUUCCGCCUCGUGGCGGCGGUGCCUCGUCCCGAAAGCUUGCCCCUUAUUUUUCUUCGGACGGAAGACUUCAUAUAGCAGAAGAUGGCCACCGGAGGCCUGCCAGGGGCCCACGAGGCAGGGGGCACGCCCAGGGGGUAGGGCACGCCCCCCACCGUCGUGGAUGGUGGGUGGCCCCCCUCUGGUUGAUUCUUUUGCCAGUAUUUUUUAUUAAUUCCAAAAACUACCUCCGUGAAGUUUCAGGACUUUUGGAGCUAUGCAGAAUAGGUCUCUAAUAUUUGCUCCUUUUCCAACCCAGAAUUCCAGCUGCCGGCAUUCUCCCUCUUCAUGUAAACCUUGUAAAAUAAGAGAGAAUAGGCAUAAGUAUUGUGACAUAACAUGUAAUAACAGCCCAUAAUGCAAUAAAUAUUGAUAUAAAAGCAUGAUGCAAAAUGGACGUAUCAACUCCCCCAAGCUUAGACCUCGUUUGUCCUCGAGUGGAAGCCGAUAACGAAAAAUGUGUCCACAUGUUUAGAGAUAGAGGUGUCGAUAAAAUAAAAUACGGACAUGAGGGCAUCAUGAUCAUUCUUAUAUCAGCAACACAUAUAUAUAUUGUCAUAUGAUUUCUUAUGCUAAAGUAACAAUCUAUUCACAAUGUAAAGUAUGAAUCAGAAACUUCAUUGAAAACUAACAAACUAUGAUCUCGGUCAUUGAGGCAAUUGCAAUUUUUCAUAACAUAGGAAAGAGUCAAUAUAAGAGCUUUUCAGCAAGUUCACAUACUCAACUAUCAUUUAGUCUUUCACAAUUGCUAACACUCACGCAAUACUUAUGGGUAUGGAGUUUUAGUCAGACACAGAGAAAGAUAGGGGCUUAUAGUGUUGCCUCCCAACCUUUUAUGUGGCACCCCGAUCCGCAUGGAGCAGGGGCCUUCGCACGUCAGCCCAGUAUAACACCUGACGCACGACAGGUCCAUAAUACAGCAUUCCAGGUACAAUAAUAUUCAUCAAAUACAUGUAUAUGAGAUUACAUCCUUGAUGAAUACAACCAUCUGGCAUAGCCCUACGACUAUUUGAAUGGCAGCGGAAGUCUAUUAAAAAGGCGGCGGAAGUCUUGGUUUGGCAGCAUAACAACUCUGGCUGGGCUCCACAACUCACAGGACUGGCAAGAUUACGGCCUAGCACGACGGAUCAAGCGAGCAAUACGGGUACGACCUACAAAACUGGCAUGACACGCCAGGUCAGUACAUUGAAUGUACUUGCAAGACAACCAAAUACAUAGUAUCCAAACAAGCUAAAGACAAAGCGAGAACCGAGCGCAUGCAACAGCCUAUCUCAUAUCAAUUACUAAACAUGGCACGAUAAAAAUCAACUAAGCAUGAACAAAAUCAUAGCAUCUACUAACAUGGCAAUGACAUGGCAUAUCAAAACAUGAUUAUAACAUGGCAAUGGCAAAACAUAGCAUAUCAUCUCAAUCAUGGCAUAAUUUAACAUAUAAAUCAAAGCAUGGCAUGGCAUCAUGAAACUAUGCUGAAAAUAAGCUACUGAUCAUAUCCGAUGCAGACAUAACAGGUUAACUAUAUGCAACCAUCUUCUGUUCUAUCAUGGUUCUUUAAAUGCAAAUAAUGAUAUAUUACUCAUGCAAUGCAACCAAACUUGUGCACCGAGUCCCUCGGACUCUCUUAUCAACUGUGAUCAUCUCUGGAUCACAAACACACCACCAAAGUGGUCUUUCUCAAGAACAACUCGUGAUCCUUACGGCGAUCACAACCACUUAUCUCAUCAUCAAAAUAUCGUCGUGACUCCUCACGACUAUCUCAUAGUUCAAGUUACCAUAUUCUUGUUAUCACAUAUUUAUUUACCAACUUAAUUAUUUCGGUUUGCCCUCCAUUUCGACCAAGACCUGAUAGUGGGAUCUACUACGAACUGUGUUGCUAUCGAUAGACUUUAUAUACACUCUGCAGAGGUAGCACACUGUACCGACACCACGGAACCCAUGGCCUCGUCAUCCCAUUCGGGUGGACCAACGGCAUUCCGACGAAACCAACCUACUGCCAUGACGCUCUCCCGGCCACUCCGACCCAAUCCCCAACGGGCUGGUCCUGGGUGGCCCCGUGUCUACCAAAGACACCCCGACCACCGUCGUGGUCAACUCCCACUCGGGGACUGGUACCAAAAAUCUCAAAAACGAGCACACAAGGUUAUGUCUGCUUACCUGAUCAGGGUAAGCACGCCCAUAACCUUCCCUAGUUGGAGGCACCGACGAGAGGCACGACAAUAGAUCGCAUUAAGGCCUUCCCAAAAAGGCAAAUGUGGCUGCACUAAAAAAGUUCGGUUUGGCGGCACUAUGACUCGAUCCCAUCGAUGACAGAGGAGGUUUGUUAUUAUUAAGUCAUUUUAUUUCCUUCUCCAUCAUCAUGAACAUAUUUAACAUGAGUGCAACAUGUCGCAUACAAAUGCACGAACAAAAUAUUGAACUCCUCAAGUGCACAACUAUAACAUAAAGGACACGACAAUAGUAUAUCAACGGUGCAUUACAAUCCUCAUAACAGUUUAUAACGAUGACAUGCAAAUAAAGUAGAGUAGUGGCAUGGCAUUAUUAAUAAUAACAUUCUAAUUAACAUGGCAAAGGUAUCAUGAAACACAAGCAUGCAAGAUAGGCAUAAAGAAAUAACUGCCGAUGAAAACGAUAUAAAACUGCAACUACACACACACAAGGUGCAAGCAAAGUCAACAUGCAAGUUCAGGGCUCAUGAUAAGAGGUUGGCUUGCCUGGGGGUCGACAAAUACUCCGGGAAGAAGUGUGAAACGAUCGCAAAAAGAUUUGCCGGAAACAGUUCUCUCUCGGAGGGGGCUGUUUACGGGCAAGGGCAAAAUGGUCAUUUUCACUGGGUGAAAAUAUUAUGAAAAUGAUAUCAACGGAACAGGCUCGACGAAACAAAGACGUGGGCUUUGGAAUCACCUGAUUCGGAGCUACGGGUAAAAAGAUACGGACGUUUAAAGCUCAGGGACUAGUCUGUAAAAAUACUUCUACAAACAGGUCCCUGGUAGUUUAAACAGAACGUGUCUUUUCUGAAAAUACAUUUUCCAGAGAGGGAAACGUAUUCCCGGCCGAAGGAGAGGAAAAAUGCGCUUUCUGAGAUUGAAAGCGCACUUUCCAGAAAUGCGCUUUCGCGCGGGGAAAGCGGCGUCGCGGCGGGGGCGCCGCCAAUUAUCUGACGUGGCACUCGGCCCGGCCAUUCGGUCGCCGACAGGUGAGG